Lemur catta (Ring-tailed lemur) is the source of this 501-nucleotide long non-coding RNA. RefSeq lists it as uncharacterized. The record is from RefSeq and is a predicted model, not a curated record. Lineage: Eukaryota; Metazoa; Chordata; Mammalia; Primates; Lemuridae. The transcript is spliced from 3 exons.
CAGCUGUAAACCGCACUUGUUAUCUUCAUUGCAAUCCGCUUAUGUCCUGGUGCCUGUGUUCCCCGGAAGGACCAGCAGAUGGUAGCAACACUUCGUGGGAAGGCUCCAGCCCAGCUCCGUAGGGCGAAACAAUAGACCCCAAAUGCAGCCCUCGGUUGGAGAAGAGCUCACGCCCACCUGAGUUCAAAGCUGAGUAGGAGCCCCGCUGUUGGAGUUCCUAGAGUUAAAGCCGAACAGGAGGGGAGGCGCGAGGGCUGUGCCGGGCUUCUGCCCUGCCCUGGCCCUCCUCCGUCCGCCAGCUGCGCUGGGCUCUGCGGUGCCCAAGCCCCGGCCCGCGCGCGCCCAGCGCGAGCCCCCAGGGAUUUCGAUCCGGCCGCUUCCCCGUCCCGCCGCCUCCAGGCCCCUCACGCGUGCCAGCUCCCUGCGCGUCCCUCCCGCCCGGCCGGGACCAGCGGGAGGAGGCCGCCCCCUCUCCGGCGCGCAGGCGGGGCCCGGGCGCGC